Molecule: long non-coding RNA, 1724 nt
Filed under: Zonotrichia albicollis (white-throated sparrow)
Lineage: Eukaryota; Metazoa; Chordata; Aves; Passeriformes; Passerellidae
Description: lncRNA (ENSZALG00000009420.1)
Source: RNAcentral
AUUCAGCCUGGAUGUGAGGGUGGUGAGCCCCUGGUGCAGGUGAUACCAUGGAUGUCCCUGGCAGCGCCCAGGCCAGGCUGGGCAGGGUUUGGAGCACCUGGGGCACUGGGGCUGUCCCUGCCCUGCCAUUUCCCAGUGCUCCGGGCAGGAAUUGGUUCCAGGGCAGGGCUGGCUGUGCCCAGAGCUCUGCCCGUGUGCUGUGGGUGGCACUGAGGGCUGGCCCUGUCCCCAGAUCACGGAGGCACAGCUGGGCUGGGCUGGGCUGGGGUCUCAGAGAGCACCCGGCCCCAGCCCGCUGUCCCCAGGCCACUGUCACCACUAGAUGCUGCUCUUGGCCAGGGCUGUGCUCCAGCCCCUCCCUCCAUGGCAAUCAUCCAUCCUGAGCCAGUUUGUGCUCAUCCCUCCCCUGCCGGGGGCAGAUCUGUGCUGUGCCCGUCCCUCUGCUCCCCAGACCCCUCCUCACCCAUCCCUGCCUGGGCAGGGGUCCCCAGGAUGAGCCUGGGGUGGCCCCAGCCUGGACCAGGGCAGGGUUCAGGGGCUGGCCGGGGUGACAGAGCCCUGGUUCCUCCUCAGGACGAGACUCUGGCUACAGCUCCGGUGUGCCGGGCUCCCACGGCGAGGAGAACCUGUACGAGGAGCCCCCCGAGCCCGCGGCCAUCUACGAGGAGCCCCCCCAGGAGCCAGCUGCCAAUGCCAAGUACGACUACAGGGUGGAGUACCAGGAGCCCCCAGACCUGGCGGGGAAGGGGCUCUGUGCCCGGGCCCUGUAUGACUACCAGGCUGCUGACGACACCGAGAUCUCCUUCGACCCCGAGAACAUCAUCACCAACAUCGAGAUGAUCGACGAGGGCUGGUGGCGCGGCUUCGGCCCCGACGGCCACUUUGGGAUGUUCCCCGCCAACUACGUGGAGCUGAUUGAGUAGGGGCUGCUGGGGGGCUCCAGACCCCCGGGGCUGCUCCGGACCCCGAGCCCACCCAGCUCCAGCCUGGCUCUUCCAGCGACACGUGGCUUUAUUUCUUUAUUUCUUUAUUUCUCUCUUUCUCAGUGAAGUGCCAUUCCCCAGUCCCUCGGCAGUGGAGCUGCCCCCCAUCCCUCAGGGUGGGAAGGAAGGUCCCAUCCCACCCUGAGCCCUCCUCCCUGGGCUCUGGGGUGUGACAAAUCCCUCACGGGAAUUUUCAGGGAACAAAUUCAAGAAUUACCUCCCCCCUGUGCUCCCUCCCUGUAACCUUGGGCCUGCCACAGCCACACUGGACGUUCCCAAGCUCAUUUCGUAGGGGAAGCUCAUCAGAGCCAUUCUGGGGUCGUGCAGGGUCUGACACGAGCAGGAGAGUGACUCCUGGCCCUGCAGUGCCCUGAGCUCACACGUGCGCUCACCCUGUGUUCUCCUCCCUGCUCUCCCCCCUUCCCUCACCCCAAACCUGCUCUGGGGUUUGAACUGGGAGUGAAAUCCUCCCCUGCGGCCUGGCCAGGCGCGUGGGACCCCUCCCCACCCCAAACUCACUGUGAACAAGGAAAAGCCCAGCCCUCCCUUAGGAGUUCCCUGCCCUGCUGUCACUUUAGGAACAAAAGGAGAGAAAGGCUUGGGGGGUCCCAGCUCAGCCCCCCCUCUGCAGGGCUGGGGGCCGUGGGGGCUUCUCUGAGUCCUGCCUGAGCUCAUUCUCCUCCCUGUGCCCCGGGCCCUCCCCAGCAUCAAUAAAAGGGCUUUUCUUUGGUGAUGGCUGCA